AAAGAACUUUGGAAAGAGAGUUAAACAGUACGUGAAAUUGUUGAAAGGGAAACGCUUGAAGUAGUCGCGUCAGNNAGGGAUUCAACCUUACUUUUGUGAGGCGUACUUCCUGGUUGAUGGGUCAGCAUCAGUUUUGGCUGCUGGAUAAAGGUCAGAGAAAUGUGGCACCUCCGGGUGUGUUAUAGUCUCUGAUCAGAUACAGUGGCUGGGACUGAGGAACUCAGCACGCCGCAAGGCCGGGGUUCGCCCACGUUCGUNCUUAGGAUGCUGGCAAAANGGCUUUAAUCG
This 288-nucleotide ribosomal RNA is filed under the name Pleurotus cystidiosus. Its description in RNAcentral is "divergent domain D2 of 25S large ribosomal subunit". It matches the Rfam family "Eukaryotic large subunit ribosomal RNA", at positions 368 to 646 of the family's 3401-position model. Lineage: Eukaryota; Fungi; Basidiomycota; Agaricomycetes; Agaricales; Pleurotaceae. The record is from RNAcentral.